CAAUCCUCCUGCCUCAGCCUCCCAAGUAGCUGGGACUACAGGUCCUGCCGACAACGGAGAUUGUGACAUAUUGCUGUGCCUAACACUAAGGUGAUGUUACUUCUUUGCUUUGGCUGUGCCCUUGGAAGGCAUUGAGACAUACUGCUGUGCCCAGCACCAAGAUGAUGUGAGUUCUCUGCCUGAACCCUGACCACAGGAAGCAUUGUGACCUAUCUAUUGACCCAUUGCAAUCUCUCCUAUGGGAAAAGCAUAGAUAAAUACCCUCUUUUACCUACAUGAUUUGACACUCCUCUGCUGCCUGGGCCAUGCCCACAGAAUGGAGAGUGACUUAUCGCUGGACCAAGCACACCAGUGAUGUAAUUAUUCUGCUUGGUCCUUGCACACACAAGUCACUGUGAUAUAUGUUUGGGCCCAUCACCUAGAUGAUGUGACUCCUCUUCUGGGGUUUGUCCACAGUGGGAAUUGUGAUACAUCGCUUGACGUAGCUCCUAUGUGAUGUGACUCUUCUUUCAUGCCUGGGCCCUUCCCACUGGGAUGAUUGGGAUGAUUGGAACAUAAAGCUGAGCCCAGCACCUAGGUUAUGUGACUCUCCUCUUGUUUAUGAGCCCUACCCGCAGGAGUCAUUGUGACAUAUCUCUAGGCCUCUCAAUUAGGUAAUGUGACUUUUUUGCCUAGGCCCUCCCUUCCAGAAAUACUGUGAAAUAUUUCUGGACCAAUAGCCUAGGUGAUGUGACUCUCCUCUUCUGCUUGGGACCUGCAUACAUUGUGUGUUGCAACGUGUCUUUGGGUCCAACACCAAGGUGAUGUGACUGUCCUGCAUGGAUGCUCUCACAGAAAUAUUAUAACACAUCUCUUUAUUCAUUAUCCAGGUAACGUGACUUUUCUCUUCUGCUUCAGGCCUACCAAAAGAAAAGAUUGUGACAGAUCACUGGACCCAGCACCUAGGUAGGAUUGUGACAUAUAUCUGGCCAAGCAUGCAGAUGUAAUGAUGACUGUCAUACCUUGAAGAAGCCAAUAGGAGAGAGAAUGUUGCUCUCAGGCUUAGGAAAAUUCUUUAUACAAAAGUCAUAAAGAAUUACUACUCUCUCACAUAUAUAAAGCCCUAGUGUGUUACAGAGAAUGUCAUAACAGGGCCCAGCGCACAAGUGAGAUUGUUUGUCCUAUGCAAACCACACCAACCUUUACAGUUGUCACCCUGACCCAUUGACAGAGUCCACUAGUGAGGUCCUGAAACAUGUGAACACAGUCCACAGUUGGAAUAGUGACUGUUAAAUGUGAACAUCUGACUACAGUUGGGAUGGUGACUCAUUUCUAAAUCCAGCUCAUAGGAAGGUGAAGACUCUCCUAUCUGGUCUCAGUCAAUUAGAGAGAUGUUGACUCUCAUAUCUGGGCUUAGAACCACAGGAAAGAUGCUGGAGCUCCUUGUGCAAAGGUCACAGAGGAUUACCAAUCUUGCAUAUUGUAUAAAGUCCUCAGGUGACACAGAGGGUGUCUCUCGAAUGCACACCCAGGCAACAGUAGAGAUUGUCAUUCUCCCACAUAAACACAUCCCACUGUUGAAGUUCUGAAUUUCACAGAGGCUGUCAAAAGUUGGAUAAUUUCCUCUCAUGUGUGGAUCUGGUCCACAGGUUGGGUUAGUGACUUCCAGACCAAGAUUCAGCACACAUGUAAGGCUGUGACUACACUAAGAAGAUACAGUCUGCAGAAGAAAUUGUGGCUCUUUUGCACACAUUCUGUCAGUCAUUGAGAUUGCGACUUGUACUUGGACCCACCAUACAGGAGGUGUUGACUUUCAUACCUUUAGAACCUGGACAUGUUUGGAAUUUCUAAUCUAAUCCCUGGACUUUGCUGCAGGUGUGAUUGUGUGCAUUGCAAAGCACCUUAGUGAUUUGACUCUCCUGCCUUGGCCAAGCAUACAAAUGAGAUUGUGACAUAUGGCUUGACUCUGGACCUCCAAGAUGUGACUCUUUUUUCCAGCCUUGGAGCUGCCCACAUAUUGCAUUGUGACAUAUUCCUAAGCCCUGCACUCAGGUUAUGUGACUCUCCUUUUUUGCUUAGGCCCUGAAUAUUUUUCAUGUUAAGACAUAUUACUAGGUCCAACACCUACAAAAUGGGAGACUGCCACCUGGGUCCUUUCUACAGAGGGCCUUGUGACAUACCUCUGCAUCAAUAACCUAGGAGAUGUGAUUCUCCAUUUUUGCCUGUACUCGCCCCACAGAAAAAAUUGUGGCUGGUGCAGGUACCAGGUGAUGUGUCUGCUGCCUGGGCCUGGACCACAGAGAGCAUUGUUACUGAUUGCUGGGCUCAGCACCCAGGUGAUGUGACUCUGCUGCCUGUGUGCUGCUUUCAGGAGAAGGUUGUAACUUAUUCCUGGCUGACUAUUCAGUCACACUCCUGACCUCUGCCCUCGGAAAAGGUUGUGUCAAGCCAGGCCCGGUGGCUCAUGCCAGUAAUCCCCAGCAAUUUGGGAGAACCGAGGUGGGUGGAUUGCCUGAGGAGU
Long non-coding RNA from Nomascus leucogenys (northern white-cheeked gibbon), 2500 nucleotides. RefSeq lists it as uncharacterized. The record is from RefSeq and is a predicted model, not a curated record. The transcript has 3 exons. Lineage: Eukaryota; Metazoa; Chordata; Mammalia; Primates; Hylobatidae.